GACCAGACUCCUACGGGAGGCAGCAGUGGGGAAUAUUGCACAAUGGGGGAAACCCUGAUGCAGCGACGCCGCGUGAGCGAAGAAGUAUUUCGGUAUGUAAAGCUCUAUCAGCAGGGAAGAAAAUGACGGUACCUGACUAAGAAGCCCCGGCUAACUACGUGCCAGCAGCCGCGGUAAUACGUAGGGGGCAAGCGUUAUCCGGAUUUACUGGGUGUAAAGGGAGCGUAGACGGCGAUGCAAGCCAGAUGUGAAAGCCCGGGGCUCAACCCCGGGACUGCAUUUGGAACUGUGUGGCUGGAGUGCAGGAGGGGCAGGCGGAAUUCCUGGUGUAGCGGUGAAAUGCGUAGAUAUCAGGAGGAACACCGGUGGCGAAGGCGGCCUGCUGGACGACAACUGACGGUGAGGCGCGAAAGCGUGGGGAGCAAACAGGAUUAGAUACCCGAGUAC
RNAcentral lists this ribosomal RNA (447 nucleotides) under uncultured bacterium. RNAcentral's name for it is "bacterial SSU rRNA". It matches the Rfam family "Bacterial small subunit ribosomal RNA", at positions 329 to 793 of the family's 1533-position model. The record is from RNAcentral.